This 68-nucleotide transfer RNA is filed under the name Marmota monax (woodchuck). Its description in RNAcentral is "tRNA.Ala". The record is from RNAcentral. Lineage: Eukaryota; Metazoa; Chordata; Mammalia; Rodentia; Sciuridae.
GUGGUUGCUCAGUGGCACAACGCUUGCCUAGCACAUGUGAGGUCCUGGGUUCAAUCCCCAGCACCACA